This 46-nucleotide transfer RNA is filed under the name Rhynchocyon petersi (black and rufous elephant shrew). Its description in RNAcentral is "partial tRNA-Ser". The record is from RNAcentral. Lineage: Eukaryota; Metazoa; Chordata; Mammalia; Macroscelidea; Macroscelididae.
AAGAAAGACAGAAGAACUGCUAACUCUUCACACUACAUCUAAUACA